CAACUGCGAUAUGUAGUGUGAACUGCAGAAACCUUGAACACAGAACAUUCGAAUGCACAUUGCGCCAUUGGAGUGACAUCCUUUGGCACGCCUGGUUCAGGGUCGUAAUCCUAAAACGCACAGCGUGUGCGUGUACAAACUGCUUGAUCAGCGCGCGUGAGACCAUACGCCGCUGUUCUCGCAUCAGUGAAUGUGCACCUUUUUUGGGUACGAGUGGUGUCGGCAUGGACUUAUCCGCAGAUUGUUGCUGUCCAUGUCUUACACAAAUCCAGUAACUUGGGCAUCACUCACACUCGCUUAAGGGAUCGGCAUCUAAUUAUCAAAUUUUCGACCUGAACUCAGACGUGAACACCCGCUGAACUUAA
This 365-nucleotide unclassified non-coding RNA is filed under the name uncultured fungus. RNAcentral's name for it is "sequence contains ITS1". The stretch from base 1 to 105 matches the Rfam family "5.8S ribosomal RNA", at positions 50 to 154 of the family's 154-position model. Lineage: Eukaryota; Fungi. The record is from RNAcentral.